UCGCACACAUGUGUCCUGCCGUGAUGGCACUGAGUGUGUGGCUCAGGAGUACCUGUGUGAUGGGGAGAAAGACUGCGCAGAUGGCUCUGAUGAGGAUGGGUGUGCCCAGCUCUGCAACACCCCAGGGGCCUUCCGUUGCGCGAGCGGAGCCAUGUGCGUUGGGGCGGGAGAGCGCUGCGAUGGGGUGCCCCAGUGCCCCGAUGCCUCGGAUGAGACAGGCUGCUGGACCCCCACGCAGGAGUGUGCCCUGCGCUGUGACGCUGCCACCCGCUGCAUCCCCAAGAGCUGGCUGUGUGAUGGCCAUGCUGACUGCCUGGACCACACUGACGAGCAGGGCUGUGUGCCGAAGGAGUGUGGCCCGGCUGAGUUCCCCUGCCGGAAUGGGCAGUGCGUGGCCCUGGCCCUGCACUGCGAUGGUGACCACGACUGCCAGGACCACUCAGACGAGGAGGGCUGUGCCGUGCCCCGGCCACUGCUCUGCCGUGCGGGUGAGGUGAUGUGUUCCCACAGUGGGGAGUGUGUGCCGGAGGCCUGGCGCUGCGAUGGCGCUGCCGACUGUGGG
This 562-nucleotide long non-coding RNA is filed under the name Manacus vitellinus (golden-collared manakin). Its description in RNAcentral is "lncRNA (ENSMVIG00005014671.1)". The record is from RNAcentral. Lineage: Eukaryota; Metazoa; Chordata; Aves; Passeriformes; Pipridae.